AUGGAUCUUGCAUCACAGCACGCGACAGCCAUGGCGGAUGUUGUGACGCACACGACGGGAACGACGGGGAUGCAACACAGGGAUGCUGCGUUGCAGCGCUGGACACACGGCGGAUGCUGCGAUGCAGCGCCGAGCGCGAUAGAUGUGGCGACGCAGCGCGCGGCGGCUCAUGGCGGAAGCUGCGCUGCAGCGCCAGCGACGACGGGUGCUUCGACGAGACACGCGACGGCCAUGGCGGAAGCUGCAAAGCAACGCGCUGCGACGACGGCGGAAACUGCUAUGCAGCGUGGGGACGCUACGAUGCAGCUCCAACGACGGCCAUGGCGGAAGCUGCGUCGCGGCGAUGAUGGGGUAGAAGCUGCUAUGCAGCACACAGCGAAGACGGCGAAAGCUGCUAUGCAGCGGCGACGGUACGAUGCAGCUCCGGCGGCGCUUCAAUGGAGCCACGACGGAGCUUCAAUGCAGCCACUACCGACAGGUCGCCCCCCUCCUCCACUGUGGUGGUGUUGCUUGCCUCUCUGCUACCUGACGAACGAGAAGGGGAAAGAAACUGGUGGACGAUAUGCUUCGUGGAGAAGAUAA
RNAcentral lists this ribosomal RNA (582 nucleotides) under Triticum aestivum (bread wheat). RNAcentral's name for it is "partial small subunit ribosomal RNA". The record is from RNAcentral. Lineage: Eukaryota; Viridiplantae; Streptophyta; Magnoliopsida; Poales; Poaceae.